Molecule: transfer RNA, 83 nt
Filed under: Nematostella vectensis (starlet sea anemone)
Lineage: Eukaryota; Metazoa; Cnidaria; Anthozoa; Actiniaria; Edwardsiidae
Rfam family: tRNA
About the family: Transfer RNA (tRNA) molecules are approximately 80 nucleotides in length.
Source: Rfam by way of RNAcentral
ACCAGGAUGGCAGAGUGGUUAAGGCGUUGGGCUUAAGUUGCAAUGUACGAAUGUACUCGUGGGUUCGAACCCCACUCCUGGUA